CCAAGGGGUUGGACGAAAUUGUGUUGCCAUCAUACGAUCAGCUAUUCUUGUUCAAAUGACAAGAAGGUAAGAAUUUUGUCUGCGCAUGCGUCAAAACUAGCGCGGUGAACGGAUAGGAGACCUGGGGAAACCUGGGGAGUGUAAUUAUCACAUUUGAUUUUUGAGCGUUUUAUUUGUUUUUUGGCCUAGUUUUUCUACUGAAAAAAAAAAUUUAUUUAAUGCUUCGUUGGGAAGGAGGGAAAGCUACGGGAGAGGGAAAGAGAAAGAAAACAAAAAUGUAUAAAAAUCAAGCUUUUACGUAACUUUAUAGGUCGGGAAUGCUCGGUUUCCGACGGAAAAUCGCGAAUUUUCCUAUCUUUAAAAAAAUAUACAUUGACUAGUAAACGAAGAAAGGUCCAGUACAUGUUUGCGAAUACGAAGUUAUGUUUUUGCAAAUCUACUAUUCAC
Non-coding RNA from Paramuricea clavata, 447 nucleotides. The record is from the annotation of a GenBank genome assembly. Lineage: Eukaryota; Metazoa; Cnidaria; Anthozoa; Malacalcyonacea; Plexauridae.